AGUUAUCGUUUAUUUGAUAGUACCUUACUACAUGGAUAACCGUGGUAAUUCUAGAGCUAAUACAUGCUAAAAACCCCGACUUCGGAAGGGGUGUAUUUAUUAGAUAAAAAACCAACGCCCUUCGGGGCUCCUUGGUGAUUCAUAAUAACUCAACGAAUCGCAUGGCCUUGAGCCGGCGAUGGUUCAUUCAAAUUUCUGCCCUAUCAACUUUCGAUGGUAGGAUAGUGGCCUACCAUGGUAUCAACGGGUAACGGGGAAUUAGGGUUCGAUUCCGGAGAGGGAGCCUGAGAAACGGCUACCACAUCCAAGGAAGGCAGCAGGCGCGCAAAUUACCCAAUCCCGACACGGGGAGGUAGUGACAAUAAAUACUGAUACAGGGCUCUUUUGGGUCUUGUAAUUGGAAUGAGUACAAUUUAAAUCCCUUAACGAGGAACAAUUGGAGGGCAAGUCUGGUGCCAGCAGCCGCGGUAAUUCCAGCUCCAAUAGCGUAUAUUAAAGUUGUUGCAGUUAAAAAGCUCGUAGUUGAACCUUGGGCCUGGCUGGCCGGUCCGCCUCACCGCGUGUACUGGUCCGGCCGGGCCUUUCCUUCUGGGGAUCCGCAUGCCCUUCACUGGGUGUGCCGGGGAACCAGGACUUUUACUUUGAAAAAAUUAGAGUGUUCAAAGCAGGCCUUUGCUCGAAUACAUUAGCAUGGAAUAAUAGAAUAGGACGUGCGGUUCUAUUUUGUUGGUUUCUAGGACCGCCGUAAUGAUUAAUAGGGAUAGUCGGGGGUGUCAGUAUUCAAUUGUCAGAGGUGAAAUUCUUGGAUUUAUUGAAGACUAACUACUGCGAAAGCAUUCACCAAGGAUGUUUUCAUUAAUCAGUGAACGAAAGUUAGGGGGAUCGAAGACGAUCAGAUACCGUCGUAGUCUUAACCGUAAACUAUGCCCGACUAGGGAUCGGGCGAU
RNAcentral lists this ribosomal RNA (947 nucleotides) under Spissiomyces sp. SDBR-CMU319. RNAcentral's name for it is "SSU rRNA". It matches the Rfam family "Eukaryotic small subunit ribosomal RNA", at positions 108 to 1061 of the family's 1831-position model. The record is from RNAcentral. Lineage: Eukaryota; Fungi; Ascomycota; Dothideomycetes.